GUGGUCUCCGAUUGUCACUCUGCCAUGGGAAGCUAGUUCGUUACCCCAUAAGUUGCCAAGAUUCUGUGAUCUGCUGGAUAAAAUUCACAGUUUAGCCAUUACCAAAAAAAUAAAAAAAUCACAGUUUAGCAACGGUUUUGAAGGUUGUAAUUUCACUUGGUCGCGGUUCGGACUGAUGUCACUGCUCCUGCUAUCGCUAAAAGUGUG
Molecule: long non-coding RNA, 207 nt
Organism: Arabidopsis thaliana (thale cress)
Lineage: Eukaryota; Viridiplantae; Streptophyta; Magnoliopsida; Brassicales; Brassicaceae
Product: other RNA
Exons: 1
Source: RefSeq